RNAcentral lists this ribosomal RNA (556 nucleotides) under Halomonas sp. BM1. RNAcentral describes it as "bacterial SSU rRNA". It matches the Rfam family "Bacterial small subunit ribosomal RNA", at positions 848 to 1404 of the family's 1533-position model. The record is from RNAcentral. Lineage: Bacteria; Pseudomonadati; Pseudomonadota; Gammaproteobacteria; Oceanospirillales; Halomonadaceae.
GCAGUUAACGCGAUAAGUCGACCGCCUGGGGAGUACGGCCGCAAGGUUAAAACUCAAAUGAAUUGACGGGGGCCCGCACAAGCGGUGGAGCAUGUGGUUUAAUUCGAUGCAACGCGAAGAACCUUACCUACCCUUGACAUCCUGCGAACCCUUCGGAGACGAAGGGGUGCCUUCGGGAGCGCAGAGACAGGUGCUGCAUGGCUGUCGUCAGCUCGUGUUGUGAAAUGUUGGGUUAAGUCCCGUAACGAGCGCAACCCUUGUCCCUAUUUGCCAGCGAUUCGGUCGGGAACUCUAGGGAGACUGCCGGUGACAAACCGGAGGAAGGUGGGGACGACGUCAAGUCAUCAUGGCCCUUACGGGUAGGGCUACACACGUGCUACAAUGGUCGGUACAAAGGGUUGCGAGUCCGCGAGGCCAAGCUAAUCCCGGAAAGCCGAUCUCAGUCCGGAUCGGAGUCUGCAACUCGACUCCGUGAAGUCGGAAUCGCUAGUAAUCGUGAAUCAGAAUGCCACGGUGAAUACGUUCCCGGGCCUUGUACACACCGCCCGUCACACCA